GAAACCGGGAGAGACCGCCGUUACGGCGGCGCCGAAGGGGCCGCAAGAACUCUCAGGCAAAAGGACCGGUUUU
RNAcentral lists this non-coding RNA (73 nucleotides) under uncultured Mailhella sp. RNAcentral's name for it is "Glycine riboswitch". It matches the Rfam family "Glycine riboswitch aptamer", at positions 7 to 88 of the family's 94-position model. Rfam says of the family: This family represents the bacterial glycine riboswitch. Glycine riboswitches usually consist of two metabolite-binding aptamers domains with similar structures in tandem. The record is from RNAcentral. Lineage: Bacteria; Pseudomonadati; Thermodesulfobacteriota; Desulfovibrionia; Desulfovibrionales; Desulfovibrionaceae.